RNAcentral lists this ribosomal RNA (433 nucleotides) under uncultured bacterium. Its description in RNAcentral is "partial 16S ribosomal RNA". It matches the Rfam family "Bacterial small subunit ribosomal RNA", at positions 29 to 507 of the family's 1533-position model. The record is from RNAcentral.
AACGAACGCUGGCGGCAUGCCUAACACAUGCAAGUCGAACGAAAACUCCGGGUCUUGGGGCGCUCGGGGGUGUCACCCGAGGGAACAUGAACUUAUGUUCGGCAUAACUACACGACAGGGGUGCUAAUACCGGAUAGUGUCUUAGGACCAAUGAUUUAUCGCCUUGGGUUGGGCCAUCGUUGGAUUAGCUAGUUGGUAGGGUAAAAGCUUACUACGGCGCGGAUUCACAGCUGGUCUGUGAGGAUGAUCAGCCACACUGAGACUCAGACACGGCCCGGACUCCUACGCGAGGGAGCAGUGCGGAAUUGUGGACAACCGCCGAAGGGCUGAAGCUGUACGGACGCGUGAGCUAUGUUGUCCUUAGGGUUGUAAAGCGCAUUUACCCGGGAUGGUAAUGACGGUACCGGGAGAAUAAGCUCCGGCUAACUCCGUG